GUCGAAUGACUUGGAAAAGUCAGUCAAAGAGGGUAAAAACCCCGUAGACGAAAUGUGGAAGACACCUAGGAGGAUCCUGAGUACGGCGGAACACGAGAAAUUCCGUCGGAAUCCGGGAGGACCAUCUCCCAAGGCUAAAUACUCCCUAGUGACCGAUAGUGAACCAGUACCGUGAGGGAAAGGUGAAAAGCACCCCGGAAGGGGAGUGAAAUAGAACCUGAAACCGUGUGCCUACAACAAGUCAAAGCCCGUUAAUGGGUGAUGGCGUGCCUUUUGUAGAAUGAACCGGCGAGUUACGAUUGCAUGCGAGGUUAAGUUGAAGAGACGGAGCCGCAGCGAAAGCGAGUCUGAAUAGGGCGUUUGAGUAUGUAGUCGUAGACCCGAAACCAUGUGAUCUACCCAUGUCCAGGUUGAAGGUGCGGUAAAACGCACUGGAGGACCGAACCCACGUACGUUGAAAAGUGCGGGGAUGAGGUGUGGGUAGCGGAGAAAUUCCAAACGAACUUGGAGAUAGCUGGUUCUCUCCGAAAUAGCUUUAGGGCUAGCCUCGGAAUUGAGAAUGAUGGAGGUAGAGCACUGUUUGGACUAGGGGCCCAUCUCGGGUUACCGAAUUCAGAUAAACUCCGAAUGCCAUUCAUUCAUAUCCGGGAGUCAGACUGUGAGUGAUAAGAUCCAUAGUCGAAAGGGAAACAGCCCAGACCACCAGCUAAGGUCCCAAAAUAUAUGUUAAGUGGAAAAGGAUGUGGGGUUGCACAGACAACUAGGAUGUUGGCUUAGAAGCAGCCACCAUUUAAAGAGUGCGUAAUAGCUCACUAGUCGAGUGACCCUGCGCCGAAAAUGUACCGGGGCUAAACAUAUUACCGAAGCUGUGGAGUACACCUUUAGGUGUAUUGGUAGGAGAGCGUUCUAAGGGCGU
Molecule: ribosomal RNA, 916 nt
Filed under: Enterococcus faecium
Lineage: Bacteria; Bacillati; Bacillota; Bacilli; Lactobacillales; Enterococcaceae
Description: partial 23S ribosomal RNA
Rfam family: Bacterial large subunit ribosomal RNA
Source: RNAcentral